Molecule: RNA transcript, 5823 nt
Organism: Microplitis demolitor
Lineage: Eukaryota; Metazoa; Arthropoda; Insecta; Hymenoptera; Braconidae
Gene name: tetratricopeptide repeat protein 14 homolog
Exons: 15
Source: RefSeq, a predicted model, not a curated record
GAUGGUGUCGUGAGUCGUGUGGUCGUUGCUUAACUACUCAACUACUACGUCUUUCCGUUGCCACAUUAACAGUUGGCCAUGGUGGCCAUGAUCAACUGAUAAUAAAUAUAUAAAUAAUAUUUCCUCGAUAUUCAAUAAAUACGACAAUAUAUUUGGUAGCAUCAUCAGUUUAUAUAACUUUUGUUCAAGACUAAGUUUAUUACGAGAUUGAGUUUAGUUGCGAGAAUCGAAGUAAGGAGAAAAAAACAGAAUAGUAUCGAAACUGCAGCAGCAGCAUCGCCGUCUUUUAUUCCCAGUCGACCAUUUUGUUGGGACGGUUUGAUCGAUAACGCGUCGACGUUUUUUUUUGUUAACAAAUAUAUAAGUUUAUAAUUAAUAUCGCAAUAAGUGGGCGUUAUGAUAUAUAUUUGUUGAUUUCCUGGAUAUUUAUUUGUAAUUAUAUGGUUGAUGUCAAGGAAUCUUUGAUACUUUUUAGUUGAAUUAUUAUUUGGAUUUAAAUAAUAAACGAAAUGUAGAUAUAUAUAGAUGUAGACAUAUCUACUGAGAGCAGAUACUUGAGCUUGUUAACCGGUACCGGUUGUAUUGUAUUUGUUGUGAGGCCCGAGAGGAUUUAUAAAAAGGAAAAAUACGAUAUUUGGAUUUGUGCAGCAUUACAGAUUAGGUUGUUGCUGGAGACUUGGCCAUGGAUUCGAUGGAUCCACGUCUGGUGGGCCAGGCCCUGAAUUACCACGGUCAGCAAUUGCAAAAAGUUUGGGAAGGCGAACGCAAUGAAAAUGAACUUGCUAUGCUCAAUCUUAAAGACCCGAGCUUUGAAAUUUAUCAGCAGCGACAAAAAACUCUCAACUUUGGGGACAGAGGAAAGAGACUUAAACUUCAACAAUUUAUUGCUAAAAAAGCUGAUACUCUUUAUGACAAAUCUAAUUUAGAAAGAAGUGUUGAACCGGUAAAGCAAGAACUCGGUGAUGAAGAAUUUUAUGCAACGAUGCCGGGACUUGAUUCGUUUGUCACCAUGGAAAAAUCUCAACGCAUCAAGAAUUUUCUAGAAAGUUUAGUAACAGGGGACGUUAUUUUUGCACAAGUUAUGGGCAAGAGUUCUACCGGAUUGUUAUUAAAAGUUCUGUGUAAUUGCAGCGAUUGCCCAAGAGUUGUUACUGAUUUAGGCAUAAAGGCGCUGAUAUUAAAUACGGCAACAGUACCGGCCGUUGACAAGAAAGGUGUAACAAGGGGUUACAUGGCCAAUGACCUGGUCUGCGUGGUUGUGAGCGAGGUUAACGUUGAUGCUGAGCGUAUCGUUGCUGUUAUGAAUGUUGCCCCUCGCGAAGGUCAAGCUCCGCACCCACCAAUGGGUCUUAUACAUUCAGAAGAUUUACCCGAAGCAUACAAGAAAGCGAUGGACAACAAAGGACAGAGUUAUGAAACAAUCUUGGAGAAAAGUACUGGCUUCAACAAUCCCAACAACAUUAAAUAUCUUUGCGACUUGAUGGGUCUUGGACGGGAACACUAUUCUUUAAUGGUGGGCUUGAGAGAACGAUUUCCGCCAAAUGAGUAUGCCAAUGAGUUGAGACAGACCCAAGCUAGCAAGUGGGCAUUCAAGAGCGUUGCCGAGGGAAUUGAUCAUUUUAAAGCUGGACGACAUACUGAAGCCUUUCAGUGUCUCAACAAAGCACUUACUGUCGAUCCCAAAAAUGUCGAGGGUCUUGUUGCUCGAGGCGCCUUGUAUGCUAACAGCGGAAGCUUCAAAAAAGCUAUCGAAGAUUUCGAAACAGCUCUCAAGCUUAAUCACACCCACGCUAAUGCCCGUAAAUAUAUGGCAGAGACUUUGGUUGCGCUGGGACGAAGUUAUGAGGAUGAGAAGAAGUAUGAGGACGCGCAGAAAGCCUAUGAAAAUUGUCUGGCCAUCGCUCCGAUGCACGAAGAGGCGAGAAAUUCUAUUGAGUAUAUAAAAACUAAAACUGCUAGUACCACUGGGUCAACAUUUAACGCUUUGGAGCCGUUUAAAACUUUUGAGGGUGAAGCUGAGCAGCCGGAUGGUAAAAAGGACAAAAAGAAACGUAAGAAAGAGCGAAAGUCGCGGUCGAAAAAACGGGCGAGAUGGAGCUCGAGUUCAAGUUCUUCAUCCAGUGGGUCCUCGAGUUCCUCGAGCUCGGACUCGAGCAGUUCCUCGUCUUCCGGUAGCUCUGGUAGAUCAGCAUCGCGGUCGCCAGGCAGAAAAAGGAAACACAAGAAAGAUCAUCGCGGGUCUUUGUCACCGCUGAGCAAACGUAUGGCUCAGUACAAUAAUCCACCGGCUGCUUCAACUGGCAGUGGCUCUCAUGAUCCUCUGAGCGCGCAAAAUUACACGGGAAAUUCCCGCGAUAAAAUGGAUGAUUACGAAGUCAAAGUACGUAAAUUUCUUGAACAGACUAAAGAUGACAGUGACUAUGAAGAUAAAGUAAGAAAGUUUUUGGAAGAAACAGCUCGUUGGAAGCGCGAGAAAGAAAAGGAAAAGAAACAUUCCGAGACAGAUAAAUUGAAGAAGAAAAAAAAGAAAGAAAAGAAGGGAAAGGAUAAAGACAAGGAGGAUAAAAAAACACGCAAGAAGAAAAAGAAGGAGGAGAGAAAGAAACGUAGGAAUAAGGAUAAGCUUGAGCGUGAUUUAGAAGCGUUAAAAAAAUCAUCGUUGCCCGAUUUGGAACAACUUGAGUCGAAACUGAGCGCUUAUUACGCUAAAGUCGAAAAAGAAACAGCCGUUUUGAAAAAGUAUUACGCACAGUAUAAUGAAAUGCCUCCUUCCCCUCUUAGUAAUGCGGAUAAACUUGCCGAGAGCUCACGCCGAGAGGAAGAACUCCGUAGAGAAAAAGACCGGGACCGUGAAGAUGGUGCCAAAGCAUACCACGAACGUGACCCAAGGGUUCCGAUGACUUCUCAGCAGCGCAAAGGUACAUACAACGAUUACCUUGCAGAGGUUCAACGGAAGCCUCUACCAGAUCUGUUUGAUCAAGACUCCCAGAUGAUGCACUCAGAACCGAAGCUUCCGACCUUAGAUACCGCAGCACUCAAUGCUAAAUGGAAAGCGGCCCAGGCUGCGCGUCAAAAAGAGUCAUCACAUUCGGUUGGUAAGUGGCAGGAUCUCCAUCCCAUGGACAAAAAGAACUCGACACACAUCGAGAAUGAUGACCGGGAUUUAGAUGAAAAACUCCAGCGUUCUGCUGUCGACAAGUCAUUCAAUGUACGGAAACAGAUGCAACGCGAGUUGCAAGACAAACGUUCAAGCCAGUCGAUUAUUUCUCCGCCGAUGUCUGCGUCAAAAGAUCCUAUACAGAAACAAGCCCCUGUCAAAUAUCCCACGCCUCAGCCUCAAAAUAAAUUCCAGUCCUACAAGGACAAUUCGAUGGUAUCCCAGCAGUCAUCUAACAGUAAGUUCAGUUCAAAUUUGGGCGGGAAAUUUCAACCUAUUGGUCAAAGCCAUCCGCCAGAGCCACCGCAUCCGCCCUCGACAAAACUUCAAAAAGGUCCGCGGACAGAUUCAGAGAGUGAGGAUGACCAUCACAACAGACAACCAAGAAGGCGUGCGGGCUCACGUGGACCGAUGGCUAAACGAUUGAGCCGUGAACGUCCGAUGAGACGCUCGCACAGUCGCUCAAGGUCACGAAGCAGCUCCAGCGGGUCGCGCUCCAGAUCACCUCGUCGGUCACGCUCGAGGUCUUACUCUAACCGUCGUUCUGGAAGCUACGAGAGGAAGUACAGUCGCUCCCCAUCAGGAACCUACAGUAGAUCGCGAUCGAGGUCAAGAUCAAGGUCUUACUCGCGAAGCCGUAGUCGCAGCAGGUCCAAUGACCGCGGGUACUACAGAAAACGUCAGUUCCGGCCGUACAAUAACAACCGGGGCACUUAUUACAAGCCUCGUUUCCAAAACUUUAACAAUCAAAAUCACCGCGGAGGACCGGGUAAUUUCCAAAAUCGAAACCGAUUUUACAACAACAAUCAGCACAACAGAUUCAACAACAGGAAUCGCGGUUACAAUAAUCGUCUGAAUAACCGAGGACGUGGCAACGGCAACAACAACAAUCGCGGCAGAUUCUUCCACAACAAACCUGGAUACCGCGACUUCAGAGACAGACGGGACUUCCGCGAUCGUAGAGGAAGCUCGCGAGACAGAUAUAGCGACCGCAGCUACUCGCCCGACCCGAUGAGAAAAGUCGACGAAGCAAAGGAAAAAAUAAACAAAAUGCUGGAGAACCACGAGGAUAACCACGAAGAUCAGGGCAAUGCGCCUCCACCACCUCCACCCCCAUCCAGCAAGAGACACGACGGACCUUUGAGUGAAGGAGAAGAACGGGACGACGAUGAUUACGAGCGUUGGGACACUGCUGAUGCUGGGGACAACGCCAAUAAGAAGGUGAAGGUGAAAAAGGAGGAGAAGCUAGAGUAUCAGGAGAUACGGAAAGAGGACUCGCCACUCGAGGGAAAGGAUCACUUUAUUGAGCGUAUGAAGCAACGCAGUAAGAAUGUUUUGAUCAAACGCGAAGCCGCUGCUCGAGUUUGGUAGAAAUUUAAUCGUUUAAAAUUCAUUCAAGUGCAAGUACAAGCUCACUGACUCUUACAACUACGCCUAUUUUUAAUUCUUCUUACUCUCUUCAUUACCUUUCGAUCAACUGCUGCUAUUGUCACCGGUAGUUUUAAUUAAUAUAUUACAGUCGGAGUUAUUCAAAUCAUUAUACAUUUAUAUAUAUACAUACACAUGUAUAUAUAUUAUUAAUUAAUUAAAUAAGUAUAUAUAUAUACUCAUAUAUAUCUUUUUUCUUGUUUUUUAUUAGAUUUUCUUAGUGGAAAAAUAGUUUGAUAACUUUUGAUGAUCAUGAUGGUUCUGUAUCUUAAUCAAAUUUGUUUUCGUUUUCUUUUUUUUCAAAUGCGAUCAUCACAUUCUUAAUUUAAAAAAUUGGAUAUUUAAAUUUUUCAUGCCAUUAUAUUUGUAAUAGUUUGGCCUAAUUUAUUAAUCGUUAUAAUUUCCUUUUAUUUAAAGCGAUAAAAUAGACGUUUCCGUAACAAUCGUGACGUAUUGAAAAAACCGACGUCUCUGUAAAAUGUUCUUUAAAUUAGUAACUGUGUAAUUUCUUCAUUUCCAAUGAUUAAUACAUAUUUAAAUUUAAGUGACUGAUAAUUAUAAUUAUUUUAUUUAAUUUCAUUCUUCAGAACUUUAAGUCUCAGAGAUUAUCAGAGAGUUAUUGCAGGAAAAAAUAAAUCCUUUGAGUUAAUCGCUAACCAGUUUUGUAUCUUUCGAGUUCAUUUCUGUACGACUCCAGUUAUUUUAAUUGUACUUAUUAUCUGUAAUAUAAAUGCCAGCAAGUGCAGCGAUUGUUUCACUUAAAAAAUAAACUUGCUACGAUGAAGUUGCUCGUUUUGGUGGUAUUUUUGCAACUGUUAGAGAUAAAAUGUCAGUGCGAUCAGGACAACGAUGUCUCUGUCGACGCGAGCUCUCAAGAAGCGAACUCGUCUGGAGAUUCAUCUGUCGAGUGUAAUGAGCAUGCGUUUGAGGAAGUUAGUCCUUGUAAUGCUAAUCCAUAUUGUCAGAGAACGUGCGAAAAUCACACUGAGGAUCUAGACGCUUUUCCACUCCCCUGUCCACGUUCUAGAUCAUGCAUACGGGGCUGCGUCUGCAAAAAGGACUACGUCAGAUUUGAAUUGCAUGGGCCCUGUGUCCAUUAUACCAGAUGUCCUCGUGUUAGACACUAAUUUGUUUUCUUUUUUUUUAUUUCUGCAUUACGCCGACUAACAAAACAAUUUAUAUAUCAUUAUAUAUUGAUAUUGAUUUUACAAUAAAUGUCAGUUUAUUAAUCAAUUAAA